This 668-nucleotide ribosomal RNA is filed under the name uncultured bacterium. Its description in RNAcentral is "bacterial SSU rRNA". It matches the Rfam family "Bacterial small subunit ribosomal RNA", at positions 8 to 676 of the family's 1533-position model. The record is from RNAcentral.
AGAGUUUGAUUCUGGCUCAAGAUGAACGCUGGCGGCGUGCCUAACACAUGCAAGUCGAGCGAAGCAUUUAACAUGAAGUUUUCGGAUGGAAUGUUAUCUGACUGAGCGGCGGACGGGUGAGUAACGCGUGGGUAACCUGCCUUAUACAGGGGGAUAACAGUUAGAAAUGACUGCUAAUACCGCAUAAGCGCACAGUACUGCAUGGUACAGUGUGAAAAACUCCGGUGGUAUAAGAUGGACCCGCGUCUGAUUAGCCAGUUGGCGGGGUAACGGCCCACCAAAGCGACGAUCAGUAGCCGACCUGAGAGGGUGACCGGCCACAUUGGGACUGAGACACGGCCCAAACUCCUACGGGAGGCAGCAGUGGGGAAUAUUGCACAAUGGGGGAAACCCUGAUGCAGCAACGCCGCGUGAGUGAAGAAGUAUUUCGGUAUGUAAAGCUCUAUCAGCAGGGAAGAAGAUGACGGUACCUGAUUAAGAAGCCCCGGCUAACUACGUGCCAGCAGCCGCGGUAAUACGUAGGGGGCAAGCGUUAUCCGGAUUUACUGGGUGUAAAGGGAGCGCAGACGGCAGUGCAAGUCUGGAGUGAAAGCCCGGGGCCCAACCCCGGAACUGCUCUGGAAACUGUGCGGCUAGAGUACUGGAGGGGCAGGCGGAAUUCCUAGUGU